This 409-nucleotide long non-coding RNA is filed under the name Ursus maritimus (polar bear). RNAcentral describes it as "lncRNA (ENSUMAG00000017940.1)". The record is from RNAcentral. Lineage: Eukaryota; Metazoa; Chordata; Mammalia; Carnivora; Ursidae.
UCCUAACCAGCUACUACCUGUCACCAUGCAAUGCUGUUACAAUACCAUCAACUAUAGUCCCUAUGCUGUACCAAUCAUUCCAUUCUUAAUGAUCUUUUCCCAAUGAAUUGUGGGACCCAUAAAAAAGGCAAGAGUCUGAAAUCUGGACAAUGGCUUAAAAUCAAAGAUAAUUUACGACUAUUUCUUCUCAAAAUUGUGGUGAUGAUGAUGAUGGUGAUGAUGAUGGCAGCUGAAAUUUUUUGACCACUUACUGUGUACCAAUCAAUGGUACAGGAUCACAGAAAAAAAAGUCAAUUAAAUAGACAAAAAAAAAAAAAAAAAAAAAAAAAAAAAAAAAAAAAAAAAAAGAAAGAAAAAAAAACAAUCCAAACAUUUCCAGGUAAGAAAAUAAAAGAAUAGACCACAUACA